UUAAAACCUGAUGAAAGUCAUGAGGUAAAACCAAAACCUCUUUAUGAGCAUUUCGUGUCUGCUGGCACUGAGCUUGAUGUUUCUGCACAGACACAGAAACAUACAAAGGGUAAGAACUCAGUUUUGAAACCUAAGUAUCAUGCACAAAUUCCUCAUGGUUAUCCUUUUGCACAAAGAUCCAAAGUUGUAAGAAACUCUAAGAAAACUAAUAAGAGAGGGCCCAGAAAGUGAAUACCUA
RNAcentral lists this long non-coding RNA (238 nucleotides) under Lathyrus oleraceus (garden pea). RNAcentral describes it as "Pisum sativum (pea) long non-coding RNA (PSAT_LNC007074)". Lineage: Eukaryota; Viridiplantae; Streptophyta; Magnoliopsida; Fabales; Fabaceae. The record is from RNAcentral.